GGUUGGAGGACUGGAGGCGGCUGGGCUACUACUGCUCGUGUCGAGAGGAAGAAGAGGAGGAGGAUCGAUUGGAGUAGAGUUGCGGCGAUGGAAUGGAAUGGGAGGAUGGGCUGUGCGUGCGCUGGAUGAGUUGCACUGCCUCUUGCUCUCUCUCUAUUGUAUCCUGUUUGUCUGGUCUCUUGGGUUGGCAACCCGCAGCGGCUCUUCUCGGUGUUCAUAUAUAGCCGCCCGGCCGGCCGGGGGCCGCCGGGCCGGACCGGGCCGGCGCGCGCGAGGAUUCGGGAACCGGGGGACGCUGCCUGCCUGCCUG
This 310-nucleotide long non-coding RNA is filed under the name Setaria italica (foxtail millet). RNAcentral's name for it is "long non-coding RNA (SITA_LNC001917)". Lineage: Eukaryota; Viridiplantae; Streptophyta; Magnoliopsida; Poales; Poaceae. The record is from RNAcentral.